This 710-nucleotide long non-coding RNA is filed under the name Mus pahari (shrew mouse). RNAcentral's name for it is "lncRNA (MGP_PahariEiJ_G0004425.1)". Lineage: Eukaryota; Metazoa; Chordata; Mammalia; Rodentia; Muridae. The record is from RNAcentral.
AGUCCUGGGGAGUGCUGUGGGGAACACAGUGACACAGUGUGCCACACUCUGUGCUGUGGUUCUCCUGAAGACUUGUCUGGUCUCUCUGUCUAGCUACUGGGAGUCUGAGCCCUGCUGAGGGCUUUUCUUUCUAGGGGAUCAACUGUGCUUCAAAAGGCAGGUUCUGUGAGGGGCAGCACUUGGCUUACGAGUUGUGUGCCCUUUAUUUCCAUUCCUGGGUGAAGAUUAGUAUUUCUGACAUGGCAGAGGAUACUCCUUUAGACUGAGGAAGCAAGAUGAAGAGCCAACUGUUUUCUGCAUCAAGUUUAAAGAUGUAAAUAAACCUUGUUGCUGAUUGAAAAAGAGAACAACUAUUAAGACUGUCCUCAAAAGGAGUCAGAUUACUGCCCAGUCUAAAGCAGCCUCGUGCUGACAAGCUCUGUCUGCUGAGGCGGCUCUGCAGGUGUCCGGGGGAAUGAAGACCUAUGGUCCCAGCAGGGGAGAGACUGUAUUGACUUCAGAUGUCUCCAGAAACGGGGAUGUCAUGGUUUGGACUGUAGUCUUCCCCGUGGAGGAACACACCGACUGAGAUCCAGGUCUACCGCGUCAGCCCCGCCCCGCUCCACCCUUCUGUGCUCGACCCCUGUAACGUCCUCCGCACCCAGGGCCACGCUGUUCUCUCUUCCAUGUUGGCCGUUCUGUUGGGACUUGGGGGAAAAAAAACAGUUGAA